ACCUACGCCCUACACCGGGGAAUAGCCCGUCGAAAGGCGGAUUAAUGCCCCAUGGUCCUUUUUCCGGGCAUCCGGGGGGAGGUAAAGAUUCAUUGGUGUAGGAUGGGCAUGCGUGCCAUUAGCUGGACGGUGGGUAACGGCCCACCGUGGCGACGAUGGCUAGGGGUUCUGAGAGGAAGGCCCCCCACACUGGGACUGAGACACGGCCCAGACUCCUACGGGAGGCAGCAGUGAGGAGUAUUGGUCAAUGGGCGGAAGCCUGAACCAGCCCAUGCCGCGUGCGGGAAGAAGGCGCUACGCGUCGUAAACCGCUUUUGUCCGGGGGUAACCGUGGGGACGUGUCCCCACCUGCAAGUACCGGACGAAUAAGGGUCGGCUAACUCCGUGCCAGCCGCUGC
This 398-nucleotide ribosomal RNA is filed under the name uncultured bacterium. Its description in RNAcentral is "bacterial SSU rRNA". It matches the Rfam family "Bacterial small subunit ribosomal RNA", at positions 124 to 518 of the family's 1533-position model. The record is from RNAcentral.